This 253-nucleotide ribosomal RNA is filed under the name uncultured bacterium. RNAcentral describes it as "partial 16S ribosomal RNA". It matches the Rfam family "Bacterial small subunit ribosomal RNA", at positions 524 to 776 of the family's 1533-position model. The record is from RNAcentral.
UACGUAGGGACCAAGCGUUGUUCGGAUUUACUGGGCGUAAAGGGCGCGUAGGCGGCGUGACAAGUCACUUGUGAAAUCUCUGAGCUUAACUCAGAACGGCCAAGUGAAACUGUUGUGCUAGAGUGCAGAAGGGGCAAUCGGAAUUCUUGGUGUAGCGGUGAAAUGCGUAGAUAUAAAGAGGAACACCUGAGGUGAAGACGGGUUGCUGGGCUGACACUGACGCUGAGGCGCGAAAGCCAGGGGAGCAAACGGG